This is a long non-coding RNA of Hemicordylus capensis (graceful crag lizard), 4387 nucleotides long. RefSeq lists it as uncharacterized. The record is from RefSeq and is a predicted model, not a curated record. NCBI's taxonomy places the organism in Eukaryota, Metazoa, Chordata, Lepidosauria, Squamata, Cordylidae. The transcript is spliced from 3 exons.
CAGGAAGGAGGAGGCAGCCAGAGUGUUCUCUGCAGCAGAAGACCCCCUGCUGCCCUGCUUAACCCAGACCAGCAUUUGCCAGGUAGAGUGUGAACUCCUUUUUGUAGUUACCUUUUCCCCCCCGCCCCCCCCCCAUAUAUAGGGAUCUGCUUGCCAUAGGGCUUGGAUAUGGGGGGGGGGGACCGAGAAGUCUCUGAAUAUUUAUUUUGAAACAGCUUGGAAAAUUUGCUGACUUAAAAAAAACUAUCUAAAAACUCCUAUAAGUGGCUUGUUUCAUGGCAGAAAAUUGCAAAAACUUCUGGAACAGUAUUUUAUUAAUUUUAUUUAUUCAUUCAUUCAUUUAUAAAUGCACUUCUGUUCAAGUUGUUUUGCAACCCAGAAGGUCUGAGUGAGAACUGUGAAGCAUGUGUGGUGCUUUUAUUUAGUGUGUUCUAGGCAUUAAAAGUAAUACAAAUGUAUAGUACUCAAUGUAUAUCACUAUAUAUUGUGAUGUGUGUGUGUGUAUUCAGUGAAAUGUAUUUGCAGGCAGCAUACUUAUUUUGGAAUACCAGACUUAAAUCCUUGGGGGCCUGGGGUGUGCGGAGGCCCUGGACUUUGGGGGGGGGGCCCAUUUUAAAAUCUUGUCUCUGGGCCCACUCCAACCUUGCUACCCCCCUGGUACCAAAUGAACUUUAUUUCUUCUUUUUCACAAAACCUUUGUUUCUGAAUUUGUUUGUCCCCAUGAGCAGGUCAUUCACAAAAUCAAAAACUGUGUUCUAUCCAGGUUUGGGAGCUCUGUGUGUUCCCAAUUUUGGGUCGUGUGGAAGCAAGGUAGGGGGGAAACCUUGGUAGAAGUGAUUGUGUGGAAGCAAAGUAGGAGGAAACCCUGGGUAACAUUUCCUCCUACCUUGCUUCCACACAAUCAUUUCAAUCCAGAUUUUCCUCUUAACUUGCUUCUAAAGGUAAAGUGUACCAUCAAGUUGGUUUCCACUCCUGGCGAACACAGAGCCCUGUGGUUGUCUUUGGUAGAAUACAGGAGGGGUUUACCAUUGCCAUCUCCCACGCAGUAUGAGAUGAUGCCUUUUAGCAUCUUCCUAUAUCGCUGCUGCCAUAUAUAGGUGUUUCAUAGUCUGGGAAACAUUCUAGUGGGGAUUCAAACUGGCAACCUCUGGCUUGAUAAUCAAAGGUGGCUUCUACACAACCAAAAACUGAGAGCACAUACAGCUUCCAAACUUGGGUAGAACACAGUUUUUGAUUGUGUGAAUGACCUCACGGUGUUGCUUCAUUGUCUGAAGUUAUCUGGAACUCCAUUAUUCAUGCUUGCAGGUUUAGUGCUAGUAAUUCUGGACUACUGGAUUAAUAGCUUCCCUACAAACCUUUGCAGUGGGGCAAAGGUUUCUCCUAGGCAGCAACCAAAUAAUUCCCCAGAGCUUCAAAGUAUAGCCUCCCAAGCACAUUGGUGUCCAGAAUCAUGGAUAUGGAACCAAGGAAGCAUAUGUUCAUAGGGCAAGGGUCCAAGCAAGCAUGGUACCAGUUAAAUGGUCACAUUGCCACAACUAGACUGAAGCUAGAAAAGGCAUGCUUUAAAAGUAUCCAGCAUAGGAUAGUUACUUAAAUAACAGAGAUGGACGGGACCAUAAUCAUACUCCCUUCCCAAAUACAGGACUUAUCAGGUACCUACCCAGCCAGACGUGUCAAUUCAGCCAUCAGUAUGCCACAAGCAGAAAGCACAAUGUGCCACAGAAAAAAGUGACUAAAUAGAAAAUAGAUCCAUGAAAGUCAAGACCGCAAGACAAGCCACAGACUAUAGGGGAAAAUGAAAACACUUAUGUUUAGUAGUUCAUCUGAUCUGGGAGAAACAGCAUAUACUCAUAACAUUACAGCCACAUGGUACAUUCUUGGUUAUCAUGACAUCUUGAAGUUCCAUGGUAUUCCAUUACACUAUACCUUUUCAGUAUGUUUCUUAUUUUUCAAAAUUGCUUCUAGCUGACAUAACCAAACAUAAAGCUGUGGUUGCUGCAAUACAGUCUAAGGGCCAGUUGCUUACUGGAUUGUGUUUGAGAGCAACCAAUUGAUGCAAUUCACAUUAUGCAUGGUUUCAAUUGAACUUUGGACAGGCAAUUGCUAAUUAUCUGCAUCAUGUUGCUGUCUGCGCUGUCUGGGUCUAGCCAGAUGACAGUGGGAUGAUAAAGACAUUAAUGCCUAUGUAGUGUGAAUGCAUGCUGCUAUUGUCUGCUUUGGCUGAUUUUCAGGAAUGUAUUUUAUAGUAUGUCAAAUACCUGACAGACCUGUUUAACCAGAGGACAAAAUUUAGUUAUCUAUUGUUAGAUUUUUAUACUGCCUUUCAUUAAAACAAUCUCAAUUUUGUAUUUAUGUAUUUUGUAUACAUACAAAAUAAAUUAAUAUGUUUUCCACAGGAAAUGCUGCCUCAUACAAGAUGAAAGAUGAUAAAGGUUAUGAUGAAAGAUGAUAAAGGUUAUGAUGAUGAAGGUUAAAGAUGAUAAUCUUUAACCUUCUUUUUAAAAAAAGCUGUUGGGGAUCUCCAGCCUAAGUUGGCUCUGUCUUGGGCAUUUGACAUCUCAUAUUACAUAAGAACAUAAGAACAGCCCUGCUGGAUCAGGCCCAAGGCCCAUCUAGUCCAGCAUCCUGUUUCGCAUAGUGGCCCACCAGAUGCCGCUGGAAGCCUCAGACAGGAGUUGAGGGCAUGCCCUCUCUCCUGCCAUUACUCCCCUGCAACUGGUACUCAGAGGCACCCUGCCCUUGAGGCUGGAGGUGGCCCACAGCCCUCCGACUAGUAGCCAUUGAUAGACCUCUCCUCCAUGAAAUCAUCCAAACCCCCCUUAAAGCCAUCCAGGUUGUUGGCUGUCACCACAUCCUGUGGCAGAGAGUUCCACAAGUGGAUCACGUGUUGUGUGAAAAAGUACUUCCGGUGUUGGUCCUAGACCUCCUGGCAAUCAAUUUCAUGGAGUGACCCCUGGUUCUAGUGUUGUGUGAGAGGGAAAAGAAUCUCUCUCUCUCCACUUUCUCCACACCAUGCAUGACCUUAUAGACCUCUAUCAUGUCUCCCCGCAGUCGUCUUUUUUCUAAACUAAAAAGCCCCAUAUUGUGGUAUGUUUCAUUCUCUUACAGUGCCAAAAGCAGAGAGAGGAGCAAGCAUAGCCUAAUACUUCUUCUAUGCAGAGUACCACAUACAGAGCUGCAGAAGAGAUGCCUGAUGGGAGAAUGGUGUCUUCCUUGAGACUCUUUGCAGUGCUAUUCAGCAUCUACAUGAAACAGCUGCGGGAGGAAAGUGGUAGCAAUCACGAAACCACCAAAACAUCAAAACAGAAGGGAGCGCUCCCUGUUAACAUGCAGACUGCUCAAUUCCCAGGACUGAUGCAUCCGGCUUACUUCAGCUCAGUGACUGCAUGGAGGCUCUGCAUUGCACACAGGCCACUUAAAGCUCUUCAGCUGGCACUUGAGUUGAAAGAGGUGGAGACAAAUGCUGGCCUGUCUUUUCAUAGCUGCUCCGUGUGCUUUUCAAGAGAACGCUGUCUUCUCUGAGUGGCAGGAGAGGAGAAGUGUCUACUUUAACGAAAGAAUCUUUAAUGUAAGGAAGCCCUUGAGGGAUUGAAGUAGACACACACAAAUAAUCCUUUUAAUAUAUCUAACCCUGCACCUGCUAUGACAAAAACACCUCAAUAUUUCAGUUUCCAUCGUAAAGAAAAAUAUAUGGAGUAGGUUGCAUGGAAGGAAUAUGAUUAUUGGAGAAACAGGUAUUGCGUUUUAAGACUUUCAGAUGUCAGCGCCAAUGCAACAAAGGACUUCUAGGAAAUCUAGGAGAGCUUGAGGGCUGAACGCACACUCACCAACAAGGGGUUGCUGCAGGCACCACAAUCACGGGUAUUCCCUGCCCCCACAACACACAAUUCACGUAAAUAUGUAGAGCAAGCAAGAUGUAUGUAUGCCUACAUACUGUUUAAAAGAUGGAAGCAGAAGGAUGUUCAAUGAAUUGAUUAUGUACAAUUGAACCAUGUGUGGUGUUAUUGUUAAUAACAUAACGUCUCCUUCGCUAUGAACCACACCGCUCAUUGAGAUCAUCAGGAGAGGUUCGUCUGCAGUUGCCACAGGCUCGUCUGCUGCCUCGAGGCUUUGGAAAAUGCUCCCUGCUGAAAUAAGAGCCUCCCCAUUUCUGACAACUUUUCAAAAAGCAGUCAAGACACAUUUGUUCACUCAGCCUUUAAUUAGACACUGUUUUAAUAGUUUGAUAAUUUUAAAUAGUUUUAACAUUGUUUUAAAUUUUAAAUUGUUGUAAUGUCUUAACCUUUUUAUUGGUUGUUUUUAUUGUAUUGUUGUAAAUUGCCCAGAGACUUGCAUUUUGGAAGGUAUAUAAAUAUGUUAAAUAAAUGAAUAAAUGACCAGAAUCUGA